Molecule: ribosomal RNA, 496 nt
Filed under: uncultured bacterium
Lineage: Bacteria
Description: partial 16S ribosomal RNA
Rfam family: Bacterial small subunit ribosomal RNA
Source: RNAcentral
AUUGAACGCUGGCGGAAUGCUUUACACAUGCAAGUCGAACGGUAGAGGGGGCAACCCCUCGAGAGUGGCGAACGGGUGAGUAAUAUAUCGGAACGUGCCCAGUCGUGGGGGAUAACGUAGCGAAAGUUACGCUAAUACCGCAUACGAUCUAAGGAUGAAAGCGGGGGAUCGCAAGACCUCGCGCGAUUGGAGCGGCCGAUAUCAGAUUAGGUAGUUGGUGGGGUAAAGGCUCACCAAGCCAACGAUCUGUAGCUGGUCUGAGAGGACGAGCGGCCACACUGGAACUGAGAGACGUUCCAGACUCCUACGGGAGGCAGCAGUGGGGAAUUUUGGACAAUGGACGCAAGUCUGAUCCAGCCAUUCCGAGUGCAGGAUGAAGGCCCUCGGGUUGUAAACUGCUUUUGUACGGAACGAAAAGGUCUCUCUUAAUACGGGGGGCUCAUGACGGUACCGUAAGAAUAAGCACCGGCUAACUACGUGCCAGCCGCCGCGGUAA